This 835-nucleotide long non-coding RNA is filed under the name Mytilus galloprovincialis (Mediterranean mussel). The record is from RNAcentral. Lineage: Eukaryota; Metazoa; Mollusca; Bivalvia; Mytilida; Mytilidae.
GGCCGGGUCACGCCACACAUUUUUUUUAAACUUGAUACCCCAAUGAUGAUUGUGGCCAAGUUUAGUUUAAUUUGGCCCAGUAGUUUCAGAGGAGAAGAUUUUUGUAAAAGAUUACUAAGAUUUACGAAAAAAAUGGUUAAAAUUUGACUAUAAAGGGCAAUAACUCCUAAAGGGGUCAACUGACCAUUUCGUUCGUGUUGACGUAUUUGUAAAUCUUACUUUGCUGAACAUUAUUGCUGUUUACAGUUUAUCUCUAUCUAUAAUAAUAUUCAAGAUAAUAACCAAAAACUGCAAAAUUUCCUUAAAAAUACCAAUUCAGGGGCAGCAACCCAACAACAGUUUGUCCGAUUCAUCUGAAAAUUUCAGGACAGAUAGAUCUUGACCUGAUAAACACUUUUAACCAUGUCAGAUUUGCUCUAAAUGCUUUGGUUUUUGAGUUAUAAGCCAAAAACUGCAUUUUACCCCUAUGUUCUAUUUUUAGCCAUGACGGCCAUUUUGGUUGGUUGGCCGGGUCAGGCCACACAUUUUUUAAACUAGAUACCCCAAAGAUGAUUGUGGCCAAGUUUGGUUUAAUUUGGCUCAGUAGUUUCAGAGGAGAAGAUUUUUGUAAAAGAUUUCUAAGAUUUACGAAAAAUGGUUAAAAAUUGACUAUAAAGGUCAAUAACUCCUAAAGGGGUCAACUGACCAUUUUGGUCAUGUUGACUUAUUUGUAAAUCUAACUAUGCUGAACAUUAUUGCUGUUUACAGUUUAUCUCUAUCUAUAAUAAUAUUCAAGAUAAUAACCAAAAACAGCAAAAAAUCCCUAAAAUUACCAAUUCAGGGGCAGCAACCCAAC